GAUUCUGUGGUGUAGUGGUUAUUACGCCCGUUCGGUAAACGGGAGACGUCAGGUUCGAGUCCUUACCGGAAUUA
This is a transfer RNA of Oryctes borbonicus, 74 nucleotides long. It matches the Rfam family "tRNA". Rfam says of the family: Transfer RNA (tRNA) molecules are approximately 80 nucleotides in length. Lineage: Eukaryota; Metazoa; Arthropoda; Insecta; Coleoptera; Scarabaeidae. The record is from Rfam.